AGAAGUAGUCUGCUGAUGAGUGAUGAAGAAAAAGCAGUUGUAGCGGCUGAAAGGAAGGAAAAAGUUAUGGAAUCAGAAGAAAUCAGAAGAAGCAGUUAAGAGGGUAAAACAGGGUAGAAGAAAUUGGGAGAACUUAAUAUGCAGCAAAACUGAGCUUUCCUUCCGGAAUAGAAAUCGGUGGAUUUUGGGGAUUAGGUCUGUAAUGUAUUAGACCCGUAAUAGCAAUACACUGAACCAAACAAAGGAUUAAAGGGGGAUUAAGUGGGGCCCACUGAUUAGGGGUGUAAUGGCUAUACCAAUACACCCAACCAAACAUGCUCU
RNAcentral lists this long non-coding RNA (321 nucleotides) under Gossypium barbadense (sea-island cotton). RNAcentral describes it as "long non-coding RNA (GBAR_LNC003157)". The record is from RNAcentral. Lineage: Eukaryota; Viridiplantae; Streptophyta; Magnoliopsida; Malvales; Malvaceae.